AGUAUGGUUUAAGCUCUGUGAACGAUGGGGUAGCGAGGCCUUCCAGAAAAUAUCAAGUAAAAAUUGGGACAAUAGAAGGAUGCUGAAAAUUAACCACACAACUGGUCGCAAAUCCUUUGUGAGGAUGCUAGAACAAAAGCGGGCUGAAAAUGCAAAUUUGGUGGACUUCUACAAGGAAACCCACUGGUCCAAGAAGAAAGAUAAAUUUGUGACACCUGCUACCGAAGACAUUUAUAAGGAUAUGGUAGGAAAGCCAGAUAAACGAACUGACGAAGCAGCAGCGGGUGUCUUUAGAGAGGUACUUGGGCAUCGACCGGGUUAUGCAAGAGGAUUGGGAGAGAUGGUGAUCCCCGAGUCUACAAGACAACGCUCAUUGGCACGAGAGAGAGAAUAUAUAGCUUUGAUUGAAAAACAUAAGAAAGAGGCCGAAGCUUCCAAGAGUCAGAUGGAGUCAAUGAAGGCAAACAUGGACGUUAUGAUGGAGAGACAAAACGAAACGGAUCGUAUGUUGAGGGCCAUCUUCACUGCAAACCCGUCCCUGGGUGAGUCUCCUCGAGAGACUCACUGAGGAUAUCUUUUGCGGGAAAAAGUGAGAAGGUUUUUUGUGGUAUUUUUGGUGCAUUUUUGUGCUAAGAAGGUGGAUUGACAAGGUAUAUAUAUAUAGAAUAUAUAUACCCAAUGGGAGACUAUAUGUAUAUGUUUUGUGGGAGCAAGCUUGGUUGGGAAAUCAGAUGUUUUGGCCCAGGAUAUAUCCUUAGAUAUGGGUGAUGGUACGUGGUACACGUUUUUGGCUGAUGGUUGACCAGACCAUGUCAUCUUGACCAAAUUCACGGGAGGGGGAACAAGCAGGUGAUGUCUUCAUUCCCCUAUUCGAUUUACUUCUACUAUGCACUUCUAUACAAAUGAUCAUUUAUUAGUGUUUAUUCUUUCAUAUUGUUCGUAAUCUAUGUUCCUCUUUUUCGUACGUGGGAAUUUUGGUUGUUAGCCUUGUUCUGGGAUGUCUUUAUGAAGGGUUAUAUACAGAUUUCAAAAAGUAUAUUGUGUUUUUUAAUAUGGUUAUAGGUAGUAGCAUUUGGAUUGAUGCAUUAUGAGAUAAGAAGCUGUUUAAUUUGGACAGAUUAUAACUAACAUUGGAACAUGUUACCAUGUAAUGUAUACAUGUGAUGUUAUAUGUUACAAUAUGUAGCCAGUUAUACAUGUAUGUUUGUUCAAUGGAAGGUAUUGAGUUUGAAUAAUGUGCUAUAGAAUAUAACAAGGUGAAUGGAACUUGAAUAAAGAAUAUGUAUUGUAUAGUAUUUUUGGGCCCAGGUAGCUAACUUGAAUGAAUGGAGGAAGGGCUUUUUACAUUGAUUUUGAAUUAAAUUGCACUUGUAUGGAUUGAUGUUUUAAAUGCCAAAUUGGUUAAUGGAUGGGAUAACUAAUUUGUUGGAUCUUUGUAAUGAACUAUAAAGUUUAACUAUAACUAGGGGUAGGACUGAAACAACAAUAAAUCGGUGAUGUCUUUUUGUCCAUAUAGGUGCAUCCCAUGAGUUGCACGUUGAGGGUUAUAAAAGGGGUAUAUAUAAUGUACCUGAGGAGCGCGCAAAGCUAAUGCAGCAGGCACGUUUGGGAGUUGUCAAGGAAUAUUUGGGUGGUGGGGUGAUGACGAAGUUGUACGAGAAGUAUAUAAACGCUGAAGGGUACCGUCGAGUGCAUGAGGCGCUCAUACAAUAUUGAUGGAUAGCGUCACCUUUUUGAAGGUCAAUGAUGUAGCAGACUUUUACAUCAGUGCUGAUCUUGUCAUUUGACGUAGCAAGAGGCUUCAAAUUCAAGAACCCCGGCCAAGGAUUUUUGGACCCAAUCUAUAUAAGCUUGUUAAUUAACUGGUGGAAGCCUUGCUACAUUCACUACGGGAACUUGGUCUGAGCCUCACAAUGUACUUGGAGUUGCUGAUGAUACUGAUACAGUGUAUUUAUCAAAGUAAAUGGAGAAGAGAUAAUGAGAAUUAAUAAAAUCUCUAUUCCAAUUGUUGGCCUGUAUGCACAGAAUGAUUCUGAUGAACAGAUUUCCUGCUUGUGCAGCUUCGUUAUCAUUACAUCAGAUGGUUCCUUUCAGCACAUUGAGAUCGGCCAGGAGCCAAGUGCCUCUAUGUCCUCUGUACUCACCUCAGAUAAUGGCUUAACCCUAAAGAGGCAGUUCUAUGACACUGUUUUCUGUUUUGACUACUGUCCAGAACUUUCUUUGCUAGUUGUUGUUGGUGGUUCUACCAGUGUCUCACUGGCUUCUGGUGGGAAUUCUGUGUGCAGUGAAUCUAGAAGGUAGAAAACUCCCUUGAUAACCCUGUUCCAGAGUGCAUCGAUCGAUCUUUGCCGCUCAAUCACCAAGUCAUCGCAAAAUCAUCAACAAUCGAUGUGCGAAGUUGCGGAUGACUUAACCAAAUGUUUUCAUUUUGGUUUAUACUUGUAUCACAUUUGUGUUGUCUUAGUUUGAUGUGGACUUUGUUUUUUGUAAGAGACAUUAGCUGCUCCCAUUUGUAAGAAUUUAUUGUCUUCCAUUAAUGUACCAUAUGCCAGUUUAUAGGAGGAAA
Molecule: RNA transcript, 2566 nt
Organism: Juglans regia (Persian walnut)
Lineage: Eukaryota; Viridiplantae; Streptophyta; Magnoliopsida; Fagales; Juglandaceae
Gene name: MAG2-interacting protein 2-like
Exons: 8
Source: RefSeq, a predicted model, not a curated record